AAAAAUUAAGUGAGCCGAGUUUGAGCCUAUAGGCAUGAGGCCCGAUGGUAUUUGAGCUUGAGCCUAUAAAAACGAGGCCCGAUGGUAUAUGAGCUUGAGCCGACCCAAGCUCGGCUCACAUGGCCCGAUUGCCAGCCCUAUUUUCCAGUAAGUAUUUAAUGGGAAAAAGUUUUCCUUACAAAGGUUUUCAAAGUAAUUAAGGUUAUAUUAGAGGUUUUGAUUUUUUAAAAGAAAAAUGAAAUUUUCUAGUUUUUGAUUUCAAGAAAAUUCGA
This 272-nucleotide long non-coding RNA is filed under the name Erythranthe guttata (spotted monkey flower). RNAcentral describes it as "long non-coding RNA (EGUT_LNC003156)". The record is from RNAcentral. Lineage: Eukaryota; Viridiplantae; Streptophyta; Magnoliopsida; Lamiales; Phrymaceae.